Artibeus jamaicensis (Jamaican fruit-eating bat) is the source of this 164-nucleotide small nuclear RNA. RefSeq annotates it as U1 spliceosomal RNA. The record is from RefSeq and is a predicted model, not a curated record. NCBI's taxonomy places the organism in Eukaryota, Metazoa, Chordata, Mammalia, Chiroptera, Phyllostomidae. The transcript has a single exon.
AUUUUUAGCUGGAAGGGGAGGUACCAUGAUCAUGCAAAUGGUUUUCCCAGGGUGAGGUUUAUGCAUUGCACUCUGGAUAUGCUGACCCCUGUGAUUUCCCCAAAUGUGGGAAAAACAACUGCAUAAUUUGUGGUAGUACGGGACCGUGUUCAUGCUCUCCUGAA